CAGCUGCACUACCGCUCAGGGUGGGAGCAAUCUGGGUCUCAGCUAUCCAGCAGGUUAUCCCAGGAGGAAGACGGGAGAGCAGCAGUUCCAAACGGCUCCACUAAGCUGCAGCUCAUACCACUAGAAGCAUCACACUUAAAGAAGAUUACUGCGUCUGAGCCAGUACUUGAGCAAUUCUGCAAUGCUGGUUGUAUAAGGAAAAAUGAUUUUUUUUCCCCCCACCCUGCCCCGAGUAGAUUUGUUCCUAAUUUGAUUAUUACCUGUCAGUUCCUGAAGGCCUUCUGCAAGGCCCCAUCCACUAAUCUGCUGGGGGAAGCAGCACUAACCAAUGCAUUGACUGUCCCAGUAACUAGCGGUUUUUUUUCUGGACUCUACAGCAAAUGGACUUGGAUGGGGGGAAAGAGAUACCUAACUUCCCCUGCUGCUGGCAGCUUUCAAAUCAGCACAUGGGAGCAGACCACUCUGCAGGUCUGCUAAAUCUACUCUGUGAAGUGUAAGAAGGUAUGUGACAGAACCUGUCUUAUACGGGCAGCUCAGCUCCAGUGCUGGGUGAUAGACAUCUUGGGAAGCAGGCAGGGCAGGGGGAAGAAAGGAGGGGAAAGAUGUCAGCCAGAGCAUGGCCCUGGGCACAAGAGAUAAAGCAAGCAGACUCAAAGAGACAAGAACAGCCCUACCGCAGAGAGAGCUGAACUGCAGGCAAGACUGGGCUGCUCCCUGGAGGAAAAGGGAAAGAGCCCCUGGUCCUACAGUACUUCUCCUCAGGGUCUGGUAAGAAAAAUACUCUCAAGAUUAAGAAAAAAAUAAGGUAGAGAAGCAGAAAAAGAAAGGGAAAAGGAUACAGAAAGAGAAGGUGGCUGAAAAAGGAUAAUGUUUGUAAAUAAUGGAAGUUCAGCUUCAUGGAUGAUGUUUUCGGUAGUUCAGAGCUAAGCCCAGGCUUAUUUACACAUAGAGCACUAAACAAACAAUCCUAUUUUAUAGGAUUCCCUGCAUAGCUAUUGCCAUACCCAAGUACUCGGUACAUGGAACAAUUCAGCUACCACCUGUCACAAAGGGUACUCUGAGCUCUGGGUGCACUACAACUCAGUUUUGGUAGAACAGCUGAUGAGUGUUGCUUUGGCCCAGAGUACCUCAGAUUUCUUGACAAGGAACAUCUGGAGAUGUUUGAAGGAAGGGGAAGGGAGACCUUUAGUUUGAGAAAGCAUAGCUCUAGCUUUGAUCAAGAGCUCAGAGAGCAUCUAGUGCGCAGCCAAGUUUUACCCUCACUCUGGGAAGUUCGGCUGUGCCUGUGGAACAAAGCUACGAGCCAUUAUUUCUUACUUAAGGGCUCCAAAUAAAUCUAGAUAUGCUGGAGGCAGGUUGCUGACAGUAACAUCAAGGACAGACACCUCAACACGCCUCUCAUCUAAUAUACAAAUGUGGGGAGCAGAGGAAAGAUUUCAGGUCUUUGGUUUUAACUGCAGCAUCCCAGGGGCAAAGGGCUCUGACCCAGGUGUACUGUUUUGCCGCAACCCAGAUGAGCCCUUCUCCUCACCUCUAGGGACACAGUCAGGCGUUAAGAUUCUCUGUGCACUUUCAGUGCACUGUCCAGGUUUCUUUGUGUGCCCCAAAGGGAGAGAGUCAUCAGAAAAGGCUUUCAGUGAUCCCCAGGGGAAGUCCUGAACGCAGAGCCUUGCAUGUGUCGGGACGUGGAUCUCCACUGCAGAGCAGGGUGUGACUGCCCUUUCUGUAAAAACGCACCUUAGGCCUACUGACAUUCACUUCUGGCACGGCCGGGUCAGCAUCCAGCUCAGGUGCUGGAGCAUUUACUCAUCGAGAAGCCUGGGUUGCAGCUCGUUAAAAGAUUAAGGUUAGCUGUGAUUGUACCGACACCCUAAUGCUUCCCUCCAUCACCUCUGGUUUUAAAACAUUCUUAUUACCCCGCAGUACAGACCUAAUGCCAGGGGAGUAUGGGUGGAUAGACUCUGCCCGUUUUUUAAGAUCGAAAUUGUUUCCUUAAACAUGGCCUGUUUUUUCAGUUGAGCUAUGCUGAAAGAGAUCCAACCCAUCAGGUAGGACCUGUUUCGGAACAGCACAGCCCUGCCGCUCUCCUUGCUCCAGCCCCGAGUCCCAUACAGACCCAGCUCAGCGCACCAGGCACCUCCCCAUCGAAGGGAGCAGCGUUACAGCAGAGAAGCCAGCAGCCCUCAGGCUUAUCGCCGAGAUGCCACACAUCAGCGAUCACCAUGGAAAUACCACGUGUGCGGGGACUGCAGUUUGUUCUACAGCUGAAGGAAGUAGCAGCACAACAGCAGCCUUUGAACUAGCAGCUGGUGUGAGUUGUUUCUGCCUGGACAAAUUCUGAUCUGCGCAGCCUUCACCUGGCUGAGACAUGGGUCACUGCUUUUCCCAUUCAGGAGGUUGAGAGUUGAAAUCAGAAGAGCAACUGAGGGUGGGCAGCAGCCCUGCCUGCGUUGAAGAGACCUCAGCAGCAUCAAACAUUCUUAAAGUGAGGUUAAAAAAUAGAGUUGGUUGCUGGGAAUUCUGAAAUGCCUCGUGCCCCCACCCUUCCUUACAUCGUAUCAGCUGCUACUGAAACCGGGUAGAAAAUAGCUCCCUAUGUAUUAAAUAUAUAUAAUAUACAUUGUACAACACAGUACAGUCUUCUGUGGAGACGGUUACGUCCACAACAACAUAGGGUGUAGCUGCAUUAAUUUAAAACAUGAGGCAAGCCAGUAAGAGAAACAAACUUUCCUUUCACAUAGGCUAGUCCAGGCCCACCAGUACAGGCUCAGCUCCAGGCAAUGAAAAAGAGACAAAAUGCUGUUGCACUAAGUGACCAGAAGGAGACGGUUUCAGAGAAGGAUGGUAUGAGUACUGUCACCCUGGGAAAGGGAUGAAUUCUGGGAUGACUGGUGCUACUGCUUGUUAUAAGCGUGCUGCUCUAGCUACACAUCUACGUACUACACUGCAGGGAACCGGCAGAAAUGAACAUAGUUUACACUCUGGAUAUGCUUCCCCUUAGAGUUCUUCUAAAUAUAAACGAUUUAGAAACAGGCUACUAAUGAAAUCCCGCAGCUCAGCUGUGCAGUCAGCAGUAGUGCUGGUCAAAAGCCGCACGACUCUGAGCGUCUGGGGAUUUGGCUUUGGUCAGUGUGACAAGGAAUGAGUUUUUCCCCAGAGAGGAAUGUGCAACUGUAUACAUAGAAUAGAAACUCUUUCAGGGAGAGCACAGCCCUGGGACAAGAGAGGGCUGCUGCCUAAUUCACAGUGAGCUGCAACUAAGAAAAACCGUAAACGCAGUAAGUCACAUCGCUGCUCCCCACAGAGAGGAACGGCUGAAAACCAAACCAAACAAACCUCUCAUUUGCUUUGAGCUGUUCGAAUCAAAGCACUGAUUCGGGUCUUCAGACACAGGGACUGCCGCUCUAAUGAACAGGCCCCAGAGCUGCAGGCAACCUCCCUCGUCUUCUCUGGUGCAAACUUCACCAAUGUUUCACAGGCCUAUGCAUUUUGUGCAGCUUAUUAGUGCCAUUUUGAUUCAAGUCCAGCACAGUUCAAAGUGAUGGAACUAUCGCUAAUCAUCAGUUUUAGUUUGGCUUGGGCUAAAUAAGAAGUACUGCUAAAAAUGCUGUCCAACUUCACUGGAGCACAGAAACAAUGGGGGAAGUCUCCUGUUGCAUCCCCGGGGAUCUAGGGCAAAAGUUCGCUCUAUUUGGCAAUGGCUAUCACAGGAGAAAAUCAUUCAGUCUUGGCCAGCCAUGUUUUAUAGUAUUAAAAAAAAAAAAAAA
This is a long non-coding RNA of Numida meleagris (helmeted guineafowl), 3767 nucleotides long. RefSeq lists it as uncharacterized. Lineage: Eukaryota; Metazoa; Chordata; Aves; Galliformes; Numididae. The record is from RefSeq and is a predicted model, not a curated record. The transcript has 2 exons.